RNAcentral lists this ribosomal RNA (482 nucleotides) under uncultured bacterium. Its description in RNAcentral is "partial 16S ribosomal RNA". It matches the Rfam family "Bacterial small subunit ribosomal RNA", at positions 28 to 523 of the family's 1533-position model. The record is from RNAcentral.
GAUGAACGCUGGCGGCGUGCUUAACACAUGCAAGUCGAACGAUGAAGCCCAGCUUGCUGGGUGGAUUAGUGGCGAACGGGUGAGUAACACGUGAGUAACCUGCCCUUGACUCUGGGAUAAGCCUGGGAAACUGGGUCUAAUACCGGAUAGGAACGUCCACCGCAUGGUGGUUGUUGGAAAGAUUUAUCGGUCAUGGAUGGACUCGCGGCCUAUUAGCUUGUUGGUGAGGUAAUGGCUCACCAAGGCGACGACGGGUAGCCGGCCUGAGAGGGUGAACGGCCACAAUGGGACUGAGACACGGCCCAGACUCCUACGGGAGGCAGCAGUGGGGAAUAUUGCACAAUCGGCGAAAGCCUGAUGCAGCGACGCAGUGUGAGGGAUGACGGCCUUCGUGUCGUAAACCUCUUUCAAUAGGGAAGAAGCGAAAGUUACGGUACCUGCAGAAGAAGCACCGGCUAACUACGUGCCAGCCGCCGCAUUAA